RNAcentral lists this ribosomal RNA (486 nucleotides) under uncultured bacterium. Its description in RNAcentral is "partial 16S ribosomal RNA". It matches the Rfam family "Bacterial small subunit ribosomal RNA", at positions 355 to 830 of the family's 1533-position model. The record is from RNAcentral.
UGGGGAAUAUUGGACAAUGGGCGAAAGCCUGAUCCAGCCAUGCCGCGUGUGUGAAGAAGGCCUUUUGGUUGUAAAGCACUUUAAGCGAGGAGGAGGCUACUUGGAUUAAUACUCUAGGAUAGUGGACGUUACUCGCAGAAUAAGCACCGGCUAACUCUGUGCCAGCAGCCGCGGUAAUACAGAGGGUGCGAGCGUUAAUCGGAUUUACUGGGCGUAAAGCGUGCGUAGGCGGCUUUUAAAGUCGGAUGUGAAAUCCCUGAGCUUAACUUAGGAAUUGCAUUCGAUACUGGGAAGCUAGAGUAUGGGAGAGGAUGGUAGAAUUCCAGGUGUAGCGGUGAAAUGCGUAGAGAUCUGGAGGAAUACCGAUGGCGAAGGCAGCCAUCUGGCCUAAAUACUGACGCUGAGGUACGAAAAGCAUGGGGAGCAAACAGGAUUAGAUACCCUGGUAGUCCAUGCCGUAAACGAUGUCUACUAGCCGUUGGGGCC